UGCAGUCGAACGAUGAUGCCCAGCUUGCUGGGUGGAUUAGUGGCGAACGGGUGAGUAACACGUGAGUAACCUGCCCCUGACUCUGGGAUAAGCGUUGGAAACGACGUCUAAUACUGGAUAUGACUGCCGGCCGCAUGGUCUGGUGGUGGAAAGAUUUUUUGGUUGGGGAUGGACUCGCGGCCUAUCAGCUUGUUGGUGAGGUAAUGGCUCACCAAGGCGACGACGGGUAGCCGGCCUGAGAGGGUGACCGGCCACACUGGGACUGAGACACGGCCCAGACUCCUACGGGAGGCAGCAGUGGGGAAUAUUGCACAAUGGGCGAAAGCCUGAUGCAGCAACGCCGCGUGAGGGAUGACGGCCUUCGGGUUGUAAACCUCUUUUAGUAGGGAAGAAGCGAAAGUGACGGUACCUGCAGAAAAAGCACCGGCUAACUACGUGCCAGCAGCCGCGGUAAUACGUAGGGUGCAAGCGUUGUCCGGAAUUAUUGGGCGUAAAGAGCUCGUAGGCGGUUUGUCGCGUCUGCUGUGAAAUCCCGAGGCUCAACCUCGGGCUUGCAGUGGGUACGGGCAGACUAGAGUGCGGUAGGGGAGAUUGGAAUUCCUGGUGUAGCGGUGGAAUGCGCAGAUAUCAGGAGGAACACCGAUGGCGAAGGCAGAUCUCUGGGCCGUAACUGACGCUGAGGAGCGAAAGCGUGGGGAGCGAACAGGAUUAGAUACCCUGGUAGUCCACGCCGUAAACGUUGGGCGCUAGAUGUAGGGACCUUUCCACGGUUUCUGUGUCGUAGCUAACGCAUUAAGCGCCCCGCCUGGGGAGUACGGCCGCAAGGCUAAAACUCAAAGGAAUUGACGGGGGCCCGCACAAGCGGCGGAGCAUGCGGAUUAAUUCGAUGCAACGCGAAGAACCUUACCAAGGCUUGACAUACACCGGAAACGGCCAGAGAUGGUCGCCCCCUUGUGGCCGGUGUACAGGUGGUGCAUGGUUGUCGUCAGCUCGUGUCGUGAGAUGUUGGGUUAAGUCCCGCAACGAGCGCAACCCUCGUUCUAUGUUGCCAGCGCGUUAUGGCGGGGACUCAUAGGAGACUGCCGGGGUCAACUCGGAGGAAGGUGGGGAUGACGUCAAAUCAUCAUGCCCCUUAUGUCUUGGGCUUCACGCAUGCUACAAUGGCCGGUACAAAGGGCUGCGAUACCGUAAGGUGGAGCGAAUCCCAAAAAGCCGGUCUCAGUUCGGAUUGAGGUCUGCAACUCGACCUCAUGAAGUCGGAGUCGCUAGUAAUCGCAGAUCAGCAACGCUGCGGUGAAUACGUUCCCGGGCCUUGUACACACCGCCCGUCAAGUCAUGAAAGUCGGUAACACCCGAAGCCGGUGGCCUAACCCUUGUGGAAG
RNAcentral lists this ribosomal RNA (1382 nucleotides) under Curtobacterium citreum. RNAcentral describes it as "bacterial SSU rRNA". It matches the Rfam family "Bacterial small subunit ribosomal RNA". Lineage: Bacteria; Bacillati; Actinomycetota; Actinomycetes; Micrococcales; Microbacteriaceae. The record is from RNAcentral.